UACGAAGGGGGCUAGCGUUGUUCGGAAUUACUGGGCGUAAAGCGCGCGCAGGCGGUUCUCCAAGUCAGUGGUGAAAGCCCGGAGCUCAACUCCGGAACUGCCAUUGAAACUGUUGAACUUGAGGACGAGAGAGGUGAGUGGAAUUCCCAGUGUAGAGGUGAAAUUCGUAGAUAUUGGGAAGAACACCAGUGGCGAAGGCGGCUCACUGGCUCGUAUCUGACGCUCAGGCGCGAUAGCGUGGGGAUCAAACAGG
RNAcentral lists this non-coding RNA (253 nucleotides) under uncultured bacterium. RNAcentral's name for it is "partial 16S ribosomal RNA". It matches the Rfam family "Bacterial small subunit ribosomal RNA", at positions 524 to 776 of the family's 1533-position model. RNAcentral also lists the same sequence under 1 other name. The record is from RNAcentral.